This 412-nucleotide RNase P RNA is filed under the name Magnetococcales bacterium. RNAcentral describes it as "RNase P RNA component class A". It matches the Rfam family "Bacterial RNase P class A". From Rfam's summary of the family: Ribonuclease P (RNase P) is a ubiquitous endoribonuclease, found in archaea, bacteria and eukarya as well as chloroplasts and mitochondria. Its best characterised activity is the generation of mature 5'-ends of tRNAs by cleaving the 5'-leader elements of precursor-tRNAs. Lineage: Bacteria; Pseudomonadati; Pseudomonadota; Magnetococcia; Magnetococcales. The record is from RNAcentral.
GGAGUGGGCCAGACGACCGCUGAUUUUUGGAUCACACCAACGAUUGGAGGAAAGUCCGGGCUCCACAGGGCAGGACGCCGGGUAAUCCCCGGCGGGGGCAACCCCAGGGAAAGCGCCACAGAAAGCAAACCGCCAAGCCUCUGACCAGGGAGACACGCCUGACCAGAGCGCGGCAAGGGUGAAAGGGUGCGGCAAGAGCGCACCGCGUCUCCUGGUAACAGGAACGGCACGGCAAGCCCCGUCCGGAGCAAGACCACAUAGGGGGACGUUUAAAGACGGCCCGUCCAGUCCCCGGGUAGGUCGCUAGAGACGGUCGGCAACGCCCGUCCCAGAUGAAUGGUCGUCACCCCUGCCCGUCCACCGGGACAGACAGACAGGGGGACAAAACCCGGCUUAUCAGCCCACUCCGAGU